CCCUACGGGGGGCUGCAGUGGGGAAUCUUGCGCAAUGGGCGAAAGCCUGACGCAGCGACGCCGCGUGAGGGAGGAAGGCCUUCGGGUUGUAAACCUCUUUCAGGAGGGACGAAGCUACUCGGGUGAAUAGCCCAGAGGGUGACGGUACCUCCAGAAGAAGCCCCGGCUAACUACGUGCCAGCAGCCGCGGUAAUACGUAGGGGGCAAGCGUUGUCCGGAUUUACUGGGCGUAAAGCGCGUGUAGGCGGCCACGCAGGUCCGGUGUGAAAGCUGGGGGCUUAACCUCCAGACGUCGACGGAAACCGGGUGGCUAGAGUCCGGAAGAGGAGAGUGGAAUUCCUGGUGUAGCGGUGAAAUGCGCAGAUAUCAGGAAGAACACCAAUGGCGAAGGCAGCUCUCUGGGACGGUACUGACGCUGAGACGCGAAAGCGUGGGGAGCGAACAGGAUUAGAUACCCUUGUAGUC
Molecule: ribosomal RNA, 465 nt
Filed under: uncultured Gaiellaceae bacterium
Lineage: Bacteria; Bacillati; Actinomycetota; Thermoleophilia; Gaiellales; Gaiellaceae
Description: bacterial SSU rRNA
Rfam family: Bacterial small subunit ribosomal RNA
Source: RNAcentral